RNAcentral lists this ribosomal RNA (953 nucleotides) under Candidatus Peptoniphilus massiliensis (ex Fenollar et al. 2006). RNAcentral's name for it is "bacterial SSU rRNA". It matches the Rfam family "Bacterial small subunit ribosomal RNA", at positions 527 to 1482 of the family's 1533-position model. The record is from RNAcentral. Lineage: Bacteria; Bacillati; Bacillota; Tissierellia; Tissierellales; Peptoniphilaceae.
GUAGGGGGCGAGCGUUGUCCGGAAUUACUGGGCGUAAAGGGUUCGCAGGCGGCAUGACAAGUCCGAUGUAAAAGGCGAAAGCUCAACUUUCGUAAGCAUCGGAAACUGUCAAGCUUGAGUGAAGGAGAGGCAAGUGGAAUUCCUAGUGUAGCGGUGGAAUGCGUAGAUAUUAGGAGGAAUACCGGUGGCGAAGGCGACUUGCUGGACUUCAACUGACGCUGAGGAACGAAAGCGUGGGUAGCAAACAGGAUUAGAUACCCUGGUAGUCCACGCCGUAAACGAUGAGUGCUAGGUGUCGGGGGUCAAACCUCGGUGCCGUCGUUAACACACUAAGCACUCCGCCUGGGGAGUACGUGCGCAAGCAUGAAACUCAAAGGAAUUGACGGGGACCCGCACAAGCAGCGGAGCAUGUGGUUUAAUUCGAAGCAACGCGAAGAACCUUACCAGGACUUGAAAUACUAGCGCCCACUUUAGAGAUAAAGUUUUUUCUUCGGAAACGCUAAUACAGGUGGUGCAUGGUUGUCGUCAGCUCGUGCCGUGAGAUGUUGGGUUAAGUCCCGCAACGAGCGCAACCCUUACUUCUAGUUGCCAGCACGUAAUGGUGGGAACUCUAGAGGGACUGCCGAUGAUAAAUCGGAGGAAGGUGGGGAUGACGUCAAAUCAUCAUGCCCUUUAUGUCCUGGGCUACACACGUGCUACAAUGGUCGGUACAGAGGGCAGCGAAAGAGCGAUCUCAAGCGAAUCUCAAAAAACCGAUCCCAGUUCGGAUUGCAGGCUGCAACUCGCCUGCAUGAAGUCGGAGUUGCUAGUAAUCGCAGAUCAGAAUGCUGCGGUGAAUGCGUUCCCGGGUCUUGUACACACCGCCCGUCACACCAUGGGAGUUGGCAAUACCCGAAGCCGGCGAGCUAACCGCAAGGAGGCAGCCGUCGAAGGUAGGGUUAAUGACUGGGGUG